GGGGUUGUGGCUCAGUGGUAGAGCACUUGCCUGGCAUGUAUGAGGCACUGGGUUCCACCCUCAGCACCACA
This 71-nucleotide transfer RNA is filed under the name Marmota monax (woodchuck). Its description in RNAcentral is "tRNA.Ala". It matches the Rfam family "tRNA". From Rfam's summary of the family: Transfer RNA (tRNA) molecules are approximately 80 nucleotides in length. The record is from RNAcentral. Lineage: Eukaryota; Metazoa; Chordata; Mammalia; Rodentia; Sciuridae.